Molecule: long non-coding RNA, 848 nt
Filed under: Olea europaea (common olive)
Lineage: Eukaryota; Viridiplantae; Streptophyta; Magnoliopsida; Lamiales; Oleaceae
Description: long non-coding RNA (OEUR_LNC010811)
Source: RNAcentral
GGGAAUAAGAGUUUGUUUAUACAUUGGUGCUCAUAAAAAAUCCAAUUUCAUAUCUCAUGGAUCGAAUCCUUAUACUGUUGAGAUUACCUCAGGGUUAUGCCUCGAGGCGCACUUUUUCGUCUUUUAAUAGGUCUAACGAAGGUUUAGGAAGAAUAAUCAUAUUUUUGACAUUGUUUACUAUGAAACUUACCAAAAGAAUUCCACUUUCAAUAAAUUUUUGACUUGUCAACGAAUACGUCAAGGAUUUAUUUUCACAAGACUUUAAACUAGUCGUACUUAGAUAUUAUAUUGAACUAACCAAUCGAAAAUAAAUAAAUAAAUGUUAGAAAAGACGCAUUUAUUUAUUUAAAUAUAAUUUUCAAUAUUUCAAAGAUUUUUGUAUUUUAUAAUUGUUGUAAUUAUUUGUAGUCUUCGGAGGACGAUGGGCAAGGUGGAAGGAGAAAGAAGGGACUCAAGGACAAAAUAGAAGACAAGUUAACCGGUAGCAAUAAGGAAGAUCAAACUUACAAUUUGGCUUCGAAGAAUACCACUCCAGCAGGUUAUGAAGCUACCGGAGAACGUGGCGAGGAGAAGAAGGGAAUGAUGGAUAAGAUCAUGGACAAACUGCCCGGCCGCAAUAAUUAAUAAUAUAUAUGUAAACAAAAUAAUAGUCCUUGAAUUAGUUCCUUCGAGAUGAAGUGAGAAACAGACCAUCGCAUGACUCUUUCGACUUGACGGAGCAUCAAUCAAUGUAUCAUUUAGUGCUUGUUUUUCCGUCUUUAAGUUACAUAAAAUGUUAUUGAAAUAAGCCAUGGCCUUGUUCCUACGAACAAAGCAUGUGCAUGUGUGCGUAUUUGCCAUAUUGUGAU